Molecule: long non-coding RNA, 478 nt
Organism: Camelina sativa (false flax)
Lineage: Eukaryota; Viridiplantae; Streptophyta; Magnoliopsida; Brassicales; Brassicaceae
Source: RefSeq, a predicted model, not a curated record
UUUUUUCCUUCCUUAGACAACCAACUCUUUCAUCUAUAUGGUUCCUUCUGUUCAGCCAAAUCAUAGGUCGGCCAACAAAAGUCAGUGUCCUUUGAUCCGUCUAGAUCAAUCUUCAGGACACAGCUACCAAUUUGAAUCGAGAUGCCACCAGGAACCUUUUUCAAACCAUGCUCUCUCAUUGAGUUACGAUGACUCGAAGCAGAUCAGAGAUAUCACCUACCUUUAAGAAUCCAGUAAUCAUUAAACAUCGUUUCUCGCAGGCAUUCUCUCAAAUACCGAGGGCUAAUUCCAUAUUCCCAUCUCUAGUCCGGAAACAACAAUCAACCUUCUCGGUUUCACUACUUCUAUCAAAUUUUAGUCAAAUAAAUUCUUGUGGUAUAUGUACAAAUAAGCUAGUUCACAAAAAGACUAUACUCAACUGUAUCAUUGAUUUUCGUAGAAACAAGAGAUUAGUGGAAUGUAGAAACCACUCACGGCA